AGACCCUUUGAUCAAUGUGGAUGCUGCUAGAUUCUGAGUGAUCCUUAUAGUGGCUCCUCUGUAUUUGAAUUGUUUUUUUUUCUGGCUGCUUGUAGUAUUUUUAACUUGGUCUGAUAGUUCUGGAAUUUAGCCGCAAUAUUUCUUUGAGUUUUUAUUUGAGGAUCUCUUUCAGUAGGAAAUCAAUGAAUUCUUUCAAUGCCUAUUUUGCCUUCUGUUUCUAUAACAUCUAGGCAGUUCUCUUUUGAUGAUUUCCUGAGAAAUAGUGUCUAGGCUCUUUUUUUCAAUAAUGAUUUUCAGGGAGUAGAAUAAUCCUUAGAUUAUCUUUCAUAGAUCUAUUUUUCCGGUCUAUUAUUUUCCCAAUUAGGUAUUUUAAAUUUUUUUCUAUGUUUUCGUUUUUUUUUUUUUUUUUUUGAUUUUGCUUGACUGAUUCUUGGUGUCUCCUGGAGUAUUCAUUUCCAUUUGUUCAAGUCUGAUUUUUAAUGAAUUAUUUUAUUCAUUUACUUUUUACUUCUGUUUGUAUUUAUCCAAUUGAGUUUUUAAAUGAGUUGUUUUGUUCUAUGGAAUUUUUUUCCAUUUUGCCAAUUUUUUAAAGUAACUAUUUUCUUUUUCAAAUUCACCAAUUCUGUUUUCCUUGGAAUUGUUUACCUUUUCUAAUUCACAAAUUCUGUUUUCAGGAGUUGAUUUCUUUAUCCACUCUAUCUUUUAAUGAUUUAUCCUGACCUUGCAAAGCUUUCCUUUCCCCAUUUUUCUUCUAGCUCUCUUUUAAGAUCCUUUUUAAUUUCUUCUAUGAGGGCCUUGUGUGAUGGGAACCAGAUCAUAUCCACCUAGAGACAAACUGCUUUUAGUCUCCAUAGGGUUUGAAGCCUGCUCUCUUUCCAUAUAGAAGCUAUCAAUAAUUAGAGCACUUUUGCCUUUUUGCUCAUUUUGAAAAACAAAACAAAACAACAACAAAACAAAACAAAAACAACAACAACAACAAAAAAAAACACCUACAAUCUGCUUAUUGAGGGCAGUGGGGUAUUUCCAAGCUGCUUCUACAGACAACAGGUAGUGGCAGUGAAGGGGCAAUGGGACAGCACUCACUGACUGUGCUGGAAUCUGAAAUCAAGUCCUGAAAUCAGCAGCUGUGGAAAGGCAGCUUACUAGGGCUGCCCUGGGAGCAACAACUGCGGCUGCUCCUGGAUCAUACUGAGUCACUUCGGGUACUGGGUGGGUGUGGCCAGGUUCCAAGAGACCCUAGCAUUUCAGGGAAGAACUUCCCCUUGUGUUUAUAGC
Molecule: long non-coding RNA, 1275 nt
Filed under: Sarcophilus harrisii (Tasmanian devil)
Lineage: Eukaryota; Metazoa; Chordata; Mammalia; Dasyuromorphia; Dasyuridae
Description: lncRNA (ENSSHAG00000028258.1)
Source: RNAcentral